GCGGAUGUCAUUGAGUGGUAAAAUUUAUCUUUUCCAGGGGAAGAUGCGAGUUCUAUCCUCGUUAUCCGCC
RNAcentral lists this transfer RNA (70 nucleotides) under Campylosiphon championii. Its description in RNAcentral is "Burmannia championii tRNA-Gly". It matches the Rfam family "tRNA". From Rfam's summary of the family: Transfer RNA (tRNA) molecules are approximately 80 nucleotides in length. Lineage: Eukaryota; Viridiplantae; Streptophyta; Magnoliopsida; Dioscoreales; Burmanniaceae. The record is from RNAcentral.